UUCAUGUUCCUGUUUUACAUGUUAUAGAACAGAGAUUGAUUAAUGGCACAUGUCAUUACGUCCCCACACCACGCCAUCCGACGUUCCCUCCAGAAUUUCGAAAUACAGUUCGUCUUCGUUAUGGUACCGUAUACAGUUUUGGGUGUUUUUUAUUUAAAAUUUUACAAAAGCUUCAAGUGCAGUUAAUUAUUUGUCAUGCUAUACAUGCAAUUGGACGACUGCUUGAAGCCGUGGGCUGCGUCCAAAACCACGUACUUACCUGCUAUAUAGUAGCUGAGAUACAUGUAUUUCACCUACUAUAUGCAUGUAUUUCACCUACUAUUUAGUAGGUGAAAUACUUGUAUAUAGUAGGUGAAAUACUUGUAUAUAGCAGGUGAAAUACAUGUAUAUAGUAGGUGAAAUACACGUAUUUCGGCUACGAUAUAGUAGGUGAAAUACAUGUAUAUAGUAGAAUACAUGUAUAUAGUAGGUACAAUACAUGUAUAUAGUAGAAUACGUGUAUAUAAUAGGUACAAUACAUGUAUAUAGUAGAAUACGUGUAUAUAGUAGGUGAAAUACAUGUAAGUAAUAGGUGAAAUACAUGUAUAUAGUAGGUGAAACACACGUAUUUCAGCUACGAUAUAGUAGGUGAAAUACAUGUAUAUGGUAGAAUAUAUGUAUAUAGUAGGUGAAAUACAUGUAUACAGUAGGUGAAAUACAUGUAUAUAGUAGGUGAAAUACACGUAUAUAGUAGAAUACAUGUAUAUAGUAGGUGAAAUACUUGUAUAUAGUAGGUGAAAUAAAUGUAUAUAGUAGAAUACAUGUAUAUAGUAGGUGAAAUACAUGUAUAUAGUAGAAUACGUGUAUAUAGUAGGUGAAAUACAUGUAUAUAGUAGAAUACGUCUAUAUAGCAGGUGAAAUACAUGUAAAUAGUAGAAUACGUGUAUAUAGUAGGUGAAAUACAUGUUUAUAGUAGGUGAAAUACACGUAUUUCGGCUACGAUAUAGUAGGUGAAAUACAUGUAUAUGGUAGAAUACAUGUAUAUAGUUGGUGAAAUACAUGUAUAUAGUAGGUGAAUUACACGUAUUUCGGCUACGAUAUAGUAGUUGAAAUACGUGUAUAUAGUAGAAUACGUGUAUAUAGUAGGUGAAAUACAUGUAUAUAGUAGGUGAAAUACAUGUAUAUAGUAGAAUACAUGUAUAUAGUAGGUGAAAUACAUGUAUAUAGUAGGUGAAAUACUUGUAUAUUAGGUGAAAUACUUGUAUAUGCAAGCAUUUCACUUGCUAUAUACAAGUAUCUCGUCAGCAAAAACUUCCCCAUAUCAACAGAUACACGUUCUGUAAAGCCGUUUAUGUGGAGUGUCUAGCCUACAAAUCCCUGCGCAGAUUGUAUCUAAAGAAACAGUGACAAUCUACAGCAAUAAUAUAAACCUGUAAUUUGCCUUGUAGCCCGAGCUACUGUCAAAGCUGCGGUUAUAGAAAUAAAUCUCAACACCUUCCGACCAAUCGGAUUUGAGAUUUCGACAGGGCUAUAAUAAUGUAAUAAUAAUCAGGUUUCGUCGUGUGUCUUAGUAAUGAUAUAUCGACUCAGCCCUAGUUCGGUUUUCCGUUUUCGUUUAAUGCUCUUAGCAUACCAGUGUGGUUCAUUAUAAUGUGCCAUCCAAACACUGUCAUAAAGUUUUUGGCUAUGGAUGGCUCACAGCACUGGGAAGUGAUGUGUAUGUGUGUGUGUGUGUAUGUGUGUGUGUGUGUGUGUUAAUUAGAGGUCGUGCAGGGAGAGAGGCUUGAGAUUCCACACACUCAAGGCCUCUGAAUCAAACAACCUGGUGCUUUUUGGUGGUUUUUUUUGCACUUUCAUGCCAACUGGUAUCAAUCCAGCACCAGUGGAGCAAAAUGCUCAGGACACGGUCUUUAUAAUGAGGUGUAGUUGCACACUGAGUCACCA
Molecule: long non-coding RNA, 1923 nt
Organism: Ictalurus punctatus (channel catfish)
Lineage: Eukaryota; Metazoa; Chordata; Actinopteri; Siluriformes; Ictaluridae
Source: Ensembl